CGUGAGGGAAAGGCGAAAAGAACCCCGGCGAGGGGAGUGAAAAAGAACCUGAAACCGUGUACGUACAAGCAGUGGGAGCCCCACCACUAAGCCAGUGGUGAACUCCACAUACGCAUCCUUUGCUGAGGAUACGGUUAACGGAGCGAAAGCGACGUUCAACCGCAAAAGAAGCAGAGGGGGCUUAGUGGUGGGGUGACUGCGUACCUUUUGUAUAAUGGGUCAGCGACUUAUAUUCUGUAGCAAGGUUAACCGAAUAGGGGAGCCGGAGGG
Molecule: ribosomal RNA, 270 nt
Filed under: Salmonella enterica subsp. enterica serovar Dublin
Lineage: Bacteria; Pseudomonadati; Pseudomonadota; Gammaproteobacteria; Enterobacterales; Enterobacteriaceae
Description: partial 23S ribosomal RNA
Rfam family: Bacterial large subunit ribosomal RNA
Source: RNAcentral